GCACUCACUUUGGCAGCACAUAUACUAAAAUUAGAAUGAUACAGAGCAGAUUAGCAUGGCCCUUGUGCAAGGCUGACAUGCAAAUUCAUUAUGCAUUCCAUAUUUUU
This 107-nucleotide small nuclear RNA is filed under the name Cercocebus atys (sooty mangabey). Lineage: Eukaryota; Metazoa; Chordata; Mammalia; Primates; Cercopithecidae. The record is from RNAcentral.